Molecule: long non-coding RNA, 244 nt
Filed under: Panicum hallii
Lineage: Eukaryota; Viridiplantae; Streptophyta; Magnoliopsida; Poales; Poaceae
Description: long non-coding RNA (PHAL_LNC000652)
Source: RNAcentral
AGUAGGGCAGAAAAAUGAUCAUUUACCUCCUAUAAUCAUCAUCAUGUCUUUAUCGUGCAACUGCCACUAAUCUUUAUUUAGCAAUAUGGUUGUCCUGUGAGAAGUCACAUGGCUUAUUGCAUUAUCAUUUAUCAACAUUGUAGGGGGUAAAACAUUUUCACUUUUACCACUUGUGGUAGGUGGGUAGGUAUCCAUUAGACCACUAUUGACUUUCUAGUGCAGCCAAUCCAUCAAACACCUUAGC